This 696-nucleotide long non-coding RNA is filed under the name Salmo salar (Atlantic salmon). RNAcentral's name for it is "lncRNA (ENSSSAG00000114271.1)". The record is from RNAcentral. Lineage: Eukaryota; Metazoa; Chordata; Actinopteri; Salmoniformes; Salmonidae.
GUCUCCAGAGAUGGUCUGGAGAAGGGAAGAGGGAAUGGGGUUGAGUUGAUGAGGGAAGUGAGGAAGGGGAGGUCUCCAGAGAUGGUCUAGAGAAGGGAGGAGGGGUUGAGUGGGCAGGUUGUCGGGCGGACGGACAUCACUAAUCGCAGGAUUUUAUCUGGAGUGAGAGGGGAGAAAGAGGUCAAGGCGUAUGGUAGUUAUGGAGAGAGAUGGGAGAAAGAGGUCAAGGCGUAUGGUAGUUAUGGAGAGAGAUGGGAGAAAGAGGUCAAGGCGUAUGGUAGUUAUGGAGAGAGAGGGGAGAAAGAGGUCAAGGCGUAUGGUAGUUAUGGAGAGAGAGGGGAGAAAGAGGUCAAGGUGUAUGGUAGUUAUGGAGAGAGAUGGGAUAAAGAGGUCAAGGUGUAUGGUAGUUAUGGAGAGAGAGGGGAGAAAGAGGUCAAGGUGUAUGGUAGUUAUGGAGAGAGAGGGGAGAACGAGGUCAAGGUGUAUGGUAGUUAUGUGUGAGUGGGACCAGUGGACUCAGUAGGCUGAGUGAAUGAGGAGCAGAUGCCCUCUAGUGACCACUAUUCCAACACUAUAGUCAAUUACUUUGGGCCAAAGUCUCCCAAAGCUGUCUAAUACAUCUGGUCUAAAGUAGUGCACUAGGAAGGGAACAGGGCUCUGGUCUAAAGUAGUGCACUAUGAAGGGAACAGGGCUCU